AUACUUACCUGGCGCAGAGGUUAACCGUGAUCACCAAGGCGGUUCCUCCAAGGCGAGGCUCGUUCAUUGCACUUCGAAUGGGCUGACCCUUGCGAUUACCCCAAAUGUGGGUAACUCGAGCGCGUAAUUUAUGUUAGUGGGGGAUCUGCGUACGCGCUAAUCCCCU
This 166-nucleotide small nuclear RNA is filed under the name Tigriopus californicus. RNAcentral's name for it is "U1 spliceosomal RNA". It matches the Rfam family "U1 spliceosomal RNA". From Rfam's summary of the family: U1 is a small nuclear RNA (snRNA) component of the spliceosome (involved in pre-mRNA splicing). Its 5' end forms complementary base pairs with the 5' splice junction, thus defining the 5' donor site of an intron. Lineage: Eukaryota; Metazoa; Arthropoda; Copepoda; Harpacticoida; Harpacticidae. The record is from Rfam by way of RNAcentral.